GAUGAACGCUGGCGGCGUGCCUAAUACAUGCAAGUCGAGCGAUCAGAAGAGGAGCUUGCUCCUCUGACGUUAGCGGCGGACGGGUGAGUAACACGUGGAUAACCUACCUAUAAGCCUGGGAUAACUUCUGGAAACCGGAGCUAAUACCGGAUAAUAUUUUGAACCGCAUGGUUCUAUAGUGAAAGACGGUUUUGCUGUACUUUAUAGUUGAAUCCGCGUCGAAUUAGCUAGUUGGUAAGGUAACGGCGUACUAAGGCGACGAUGCUUAGCCGACCGAAGAGGGUGUUGGGCCACACGGGAACUGAAAAACGGUCCGAACCCCUACGGGAGGAACCAGUAGGGAAUCUUCCGAAAUGGGGGAAAGCCUGACGGAGCAACGCCGCGUGAGUGAGGAAGGUCUUCGGAUCUUAAAAUUCUGUGAUUAGGGAGGAACAAAUGUGUAAGUAACUAUGCACGUCUUGACGGUACCUAAUCAGAAAGCCACGGCUAACUACGUG
Molecule: ribosomal RNA, 497 nt
Filed under: uncultured bacterium
Lineage: Bacteria
Description: partial 16S ribosomal RNA
Rfam family: Bacterial small subunit ribosomal RNA
Source: RNAcentral